UUGGCAUAUCAGAACUACUAGCCGAUGGUUACUCGGACAUUCCACUGACAUAUCAAUAUUAUCGACAUAUAGUCGGCCAAGCUGUUCAACAUACUGUAACCGCUAUGAACGAUUAUCGACUACAUGUCACGGUAAUUAGUGAGGAUUAACGACCCACUAACUCCACAAUUAUGGUCUGAUAAUUUAGCGUCAUAAAAAGUGAG
Molecule: long non-coding RNA, 203 nt
Filed under: Elaeis guineensis (African oil palm)
Lineage: Eukaryota; Viridiplantae; Streptophyta; Magnoliopsida; Arecales; Arecaceae
Description: long non-coding RNA (EGUI_LNC016185)
Source: RNAcentral